AUAAACGCUGGCGGCGUGCAUAAAACAUGUAAGUCGAACGAGUGGAAGCCGCAAGGCUGAAGCGAGUGGCGGACGGCUGAGUAACGCGUAGGUGACUUGCCCGGAAGUGGGGAACAACGAUUCGAAAGAAUCGCUAAUACCGCAUACGGUUGUGCGUAUAGACACGUGCAACGAAAGCUCGCAAGGGCGCUUCUGGAGAGGCCUGCGUCCGAUUAGCUAGUUGGUGGGGUAACGGCCUACCAAGGCUCCGAUCGGUAGCUGAUCUGAGAGGAUGAUCAGCCAGACUGGGACUGAGACACGGCCCAGACUCCUACGGGAGGCAGCAGUUAGGAAUUUUGCACAAUGGGGGAAACCCUGAUGCAGCAACGCCGCGUGGGUGAAGAAGGCCUUCGGGUCGUAAAAUCCUUUUCAACGGGAAGAAACGGACGGUACCGUUGGAAUAAGCAUCGGCUAACUACGU
RNAcentral lists this ribosomal RNA (460 nucleotides) under uncultured bacterium. RNAcentral describes it as "bacterial SSU rRNA". It matches the Rfam family "Bacterial small subunit ribosomal RNA", at positions 29 to 506 of the family's 1533-position model. The record is from RNAcentral.